Molecule: ribosomal RNA, 253 nt
Filed under: uncultured bacterium
Lineage: Bacteria
Description: partial 16S ribosomal RNA
Rfam family: Bacterial small subunit ribosomal RNA
Source: RNAcentral
UACGUAGGAGGCGAGCGUUGUCCGGAAUUACUGGGUGUAAAGCGCGUGUAGGCGGUGAGUUAAGUCUGUUGUGAAAGCGCCCGGCUCAACCGGGCAGAGUCAAUGGAAACUAGCGCACUGGAGGUCGGUAGAGGCGAGUGGAAUUCCCGGUGUAGUGGUGAAAUGCGUAGAGAUCGGGAGGAACACCAGUGGCGAAGGCGGCUCGCUGGGCCGGACCUGACGCUGAGACGCGAAGGCGUGGGGAGCGAACAGG